Molecule: ribosomal RNA, 393 nt
Filed under: uncultured bacterium
Lineage: Bacteria
Description: partial 16S ribosomal RNA
Rfam family: Bacterial small subunit ribosomal RNA
Source: RNAcentral
AUACGGAAGGUCCGGGCGUUAUCCGGAUUUAUUGGGUUUAAAGGGAGCGCAGGCGGAGAUGCAAGCGUGACGUCAAAUUUCGGGGCUCAACCCCGUCUCGCGUCGCGAACUGCGUCCCUUGGUUGCGGGAAGGGGAGGCGGAACUCGUGGUGUAGCGGUGAAAUGCAUAGAUAUCACGAAGAACUCCGAUCGCGAAGGCAGCCUUCCGGCCCGUCAACGACGCUCAUGCUCGAAGGUGCGGGUAUCAAACAGGAGUAGAUACCCUGGUAGUCCGCACAGUAAACGAUGGACACCCGCGGUUUGGCCUGUAUGGCUGAGCCGCCAAGCGAAAGCGUUAAGUGUCCCACCUGGGGAGUACGCCGGCAACGGUGAAACUUAAAGGAAUUGACGGGG